AGAGGGUCAGGCAUGGUCUAGGGGAGUGUUGUGGCUGGUCGUAGGUGGUGGGGUUGACUGUUGGUGGGUAUGGCUUUGUGGUGUCGUAUGGGGUGGCUUAAGAAAGGGUGGUAGGAAUGAGUGAAGUGGGGAAACAAGAGGGGAAAGGGAAUGGAAAAAAGACCAUUAACUAAGGGAAUUAUAAAGGCCCAAGUACUAACGACUUGUUCAAAAAGUUGUCAUAAAAUGAACAGUUUAAGAUGAAAUACUCUGGGUUACAAGUAUCGCUCUCAUUAUUCAAAAUGUUUUGCAGAUGACCUGACUGAGUUAUUAGUCAACCCUCGAGUCCGCAGGCCAUCUCCGGCAACUGAUUAUGAGUUGGAGCUUCGAAGCUUUUCUCCUUUGAAACCCCAGAAGGAUUUCCGGUAUGUUUUCAUUUUUGUUAUUCAACGUUUUAUUCACUGAGAAAAGAGCGUAACUGUGGAUAAUUGGAUCUCUUUGUUACUUUUGCACAAUAAUUAAACCCUUGUGUAUUUAGUGGUUUUAAUGUUUUAUAAAGCCCUGUUGUUUUUAUAUUUUAAUGUCUCAACUUCACCCGAUGAACAUUUGGGAUGCGAUUCUAUGGAUUUGUUGAGAUGAUCGAUGUUCAUGACAUGGUUGCUGUGAGAUUGUUGUCAUAUCUUGAUUAAGAAAGUAAAUUCUGACGAGGAUAUGGAUGAACACUUUAGAACAUAGAGAUAUUUCAUGUCAUCAUUACUUUUGGCUUUAUUUUUUCUUCUUCUAUGUCAUAUCUAUAUUUUUUGCAUUUUGUACCAUUGAAUCUUAGGCAAAUACAUACGAGUAUAUAUCUUAACUCUAAAGUAUAAAAACAGGUUUUGAAUUUUAUUAUUUUGUUAAUUGAUGUGUGUUGUUAGGGUUGGACUUACAGAGUAGCCGUGUUUAGUCCCUGUUUCCUAUUCGCAGCAGUCUGUUUCUUCCUUGCGAAGAAACAUGGUUUCUUUGGUACACCUUGUUCACCUGUUGAGACCUCGGACAGGUAGAUUUUGUAUAUAUUAAUUAUCAAAUUAAUUAAGUAAUAAUCUCCUAUUUUUAUUAUAAUUAAUCAACUUUUUUUUUUUUUGAGGAUUAAUGCUUUUUCACUGGUUGGUUUAUGCAUUAUUGGCGUGGGACAAUUACUUAUUCAGAUUUUGACCUUUGAAAUCCUGGAUUGGUAUUAUCGAGUUGGGGUACUGAUUCUUUGCAUGGCGCUUAUGUUAUACGGCGUCAUGAAAAUACACCAGUGUUUUUGAGGCUGAUGAUUAGUUUAGGAUACUAUUUUUUGUUACGGUUACACCAUACUUUUGUGUUCUGUGAUAACAAUAUUACCGCGUACUCUUCAUGAAUCCAUGUAGGGCAUGUACCCCUUUUCCAUGCUCAGUCACGUAUGUAUCAUGGCUUUUCUAUUCUGAAAUGCCAGAGGGACAA
Molecule: long non-coding RNA, 1443 nt
Organism: Chenopodium quinoa (quinoa)
Lineage: Eukaryota; Viridiplantae; Streptophyta; Magnoliopsida; Caryophyllales; Amaranthaceae
Exons: 3
Source: RefSeq, a predicted model, not a curated record